Molecule: ribosomal RNA, 484 nt
Filed under: uncultured bacterium
Lineage: Bacteria
Description: partial 16S ribosomal RNA
Rfam family: Bacterial small subunit ribosomal RNA
Source: RNAcentral
AGUGAACGCUGGCGGCAGGCCUAACACAUGCAAGUCGAGCGGCAGCGGGUCCUUCGGGAUGCCGGCGAGCGGCGGACGGGUGAGGAAUACAUCGGAAUCUGCCCUGUCGUGGGGGAUAACCUAGGGAAACUUAGGCUAAUACCGCAUACGACCUACGGGUGAAAGCGGGGGAUCGCAAGGCCUCGCGCGACAGGAUGAGCCGAUGUCCGAUUAGCUAGUUGGCGGGGUAAAGGCCCACCAAGGCGACGAUCGGUAGCUGGUCUGAGAGGAUGAUCAGCCACACUGGGACUGAGACACGGCCCAGACUCCUACGGGAGGCAGCAGUGGGGAAUAUUGGACAAUGGGCGCAAGCCUGAUCCAGCCAUGCCGCGUGGGUGAAGAAGGCCUUCGGGUUGUAAAGCCCUUUUGUCCGGGAAGAAAUCGUCUGGGCUAAUACCCCGGGCGGAUGACGGUACCGGAAGAAUAAGCACCGGCUAACUUCGUG